CCCUUACCACUAUAUGUUCUUCAGUAUAUACUCAAUAAAUUUGACAGGUUUUUAAAGAAACUGUCUAGAUGAGAUCUUAAAAGCAUUUAUGCAUCAGCUUCAAUCAUAAAGUCAUAUGGAUACAUAUCUGUAUAAAAAGCUGAUCUUGGCCUCUUGAUACAGAGUUUCAUUAUAUAAUGCAUUUGGAGUUGCAAAAUAUUUCCAUUAAAAUGAUCGACCCACUAAAAGAAAGCUACAGAGCCUGCAAAGUCAUCCUGGCCAGACUGUAGAACUCUGAAAGU
Phyllostomus discolor (pale spear-nosed bat) is the source of this 281-nucleotide long non-coding RNA. RefSeq lists it as uncharacterized. NCBI's taxonomy places the organism in Eukaryota, Metazoa, Chordata, Mammalia, Chiroptera, Phyllostomidae. The record is from RefSeq and is a predicted model, not a curated record. The transcript is spliced from 3 exons.